RNAcentral lists this long non-coding RNA (1730 nucleotides) under Musa acuminata (dwarf banana). RNAcentral's name for it is "long non-coding RNA (MACU_LNC006343)". The record is from RNAcentral. Lineage: Eukaryota; Viridiplantae; Streptophyta; Magnoliopsida; Zingiberales; Musaceae.
GCAACUCACGUUCCCCCUACCAUUCAAGGAGUCGUGUGAGGGAGUGCGAGACUUUGUUAUGGCCAUUAUUGGCGGAGGAGCCUCGAAGGGAUAAAGAGUGUCGGUUGAGUGCCGGUGCUUUUUUGCUUUCUUCGUUUCAUCUUUAAGCGCGUUCAAAGAGAACUACGUAUGGAGUCGAGGAGGUCAUCUCAUGUUUGCUUAGUCUUAGCCUCGUAGUGCAGUGGUUGGGGCGAGGAGUACUACAUGCAUCAUCACAAAUAUGGCGAAGGAGAAGCGGCCGGACAAGGAGGGCUCUCCCAGGAGCUAUCUCGCUGCCAUUGCCGGUGGCCGCGGUGACAUUGCCAUCUUUUCUCGUACGCAAGUACUUCAGUCCUGUGCCAAUUCACAUGGUCGCACGUCCCAACUCGUACCAUGCAUGACAGGCUUUUGGUACCUUGUGGAAUUGACUAUGGCUGGUGAUCUUGGCGCAUUCCGGGGGGGGAGGAGGCAACAAUCCUGAUCUCUGAUCUUGGAUUAAUGGAUUUAUAUGGGCAGGAUCUGAGUCCACUGUACUUCGAUUUCGAUCCCCCGCCUAAUAUGCCCAAGUGCCCACCCAUGCAUUGAGUCAUUUGUACGUUACCUGUCUACACGUCGUCUCCUCUUCUCUUGUGUUCGGUCACAUACGCCUAUUUGCGUCCAAGCUUGCUUGCAAAAAUUAGUCCGCAGAAUUCAUCUCAACCUUCCGCUUGAGCUAAUAGUUUAAUUACAGCCGUACGCGCGUUCGUGGAGUGUGUUUGUUGGUAUUCGCACUGUUAGUAUGCUCUUUAGUUAACACGAAAUCCGGUUCGUGCCCGAAACGCGCGGCUCACCCAUCCCGACCAACAAGAUAACGGCGAACACCGGACGCUCAUAGCACCCGCCUAUAAAGCUGACACGCACACGGUGGACCCCAAUCGACACGCUGGCUCGGCGACAACUGCGGAACAACCGACAUCGCACCCGUCGCGCCGCGCCCUCGUAUUCGUCGCCCAGUGGAGCCCCGUAGCGGUCGCCGGCGUCUGCUGCUCGCAACCACCCCCCCCCCCCCGGGCGAGAAGCUGUCGGAGCGCGGCUCCCUCCUCUUCCUCGGUCUCUCUGAUUGCGGUAUGAUCCGUUCGUCUGCAGAAAGAUUCGAUUUUUACGGGUUUCUUGUUUGUUUGACGGAUUGGUUUGUUUGGGAAAACUUUCGGGUUCUUUGCAGCGAGUAAAUCUUAAUGUGGGUUGAAGGCGGCGAUGGUUCUGUCCGUGUGACGUUCGCGAGCGUUAUGUUCCUCUUCAGUUCCAAUUUGAUGCGCAAGACCUGGGAGGAGCGUUAUGCUCCUUUGUUCUUAUUUUGGCUCUUCAGGUUGCCAUUUUAGAUAAAUAUUGGAUCUUUGUCGAUACUUUGCGGAGAUGAAGAAUACGUUUGUGAGUAGAACAACUUGUGAUGUGAUCGAUGAAGAGCAACAUCGAGGAUUUGGCCUCAUUUCCUGGUUUUGAGCAUUAGGGUGCAGUGAUCAUGAGAGGAGCUAGCAAGACAUGCUGCAUCUACACCAUUCCGCGCUAGAUGUUACUAUAGUUAUUGUCUGGGAUAGAGUUAUAAGAGUUUUUGUUGAUUGACACAUGAACUCAUAACCUAACCCUAAACCCCAAAUCUAAUUCAUAUACUAUUGUCACACCCCAACGAUUUUUUUUUAUAUUUUAAUAUUAAUGUCCCUAUAAUUUACAACCGA